This 3560-nucleotide unclassified non-coding RNA is filed under the name Drosophila yakuba. RNAcentral's name for it is "GE25571". Lineage: Eukaryota; Metazoa; Arthropoda; Insecta; Diptera; Drosophilidae. The record is from RNAcentral.
GCAAGGAUCCCGUCUUAGUCACCAAGCCGAAGCAAUUAACUGAAAAUGUAGCAGGGAAAGAACAUGGCCCAACUGGAACAGCAAAUGCCAUGCGAUGCAACCAGCAUAAACGGCACAACAUGGCCUCAGCACAGAUACGACAUUUCUAUAACACACCAACAACAACUUCUUCAACAACAACACGACAACCUUUACAACAACAGCAGCACACGAACAACUGCUACUGCAUCAAACGGAGGCAAUUUCAAAACGAUACGUUUCUGUGCCACACACAAACACAAAGCGAAUCAGAGGCAGCAGCAGCAGCAAGAGCAACAGCCACAGCAACAUUAUGCCAGUCAACACUUGCGACAGCAGCGACAUCAGCAACAGGAGCAGCAGCAACAGAUGAUGUACCAGCCAGCGAAUGUCGGCAGUCCUGGACCACAGAUGAGAACUCGGCCAGAGAUAGAGACACCCAGCACAGGAUGCGAGAUCCUUUGGCCGACGGUGUUGCAGGCUGCGAUGUGGCUGUUGUUCCUGUCGUGCAGCAACAGCAGCUUCAGCAGGACCUGGCUGAUCCUGCUGCCUUUUUGGUCGCUUCUACAGGGACUUCGGAGCAGGUUCGCCUCGCCACGAGCACUUGCCUAUCACGCCUAUCUUCCAAAGUCAGUCAGGACUCUACGAAACAACAACGAAAGCUCUUUCAACACGGCGCCGCCACAAAGGACUGCGCUGCUGUCGGCCUCCUCACGGAUAUGCAAAAGUUUGCACGCUCUAUAUUUUCGCUGGUCAUCAUCUUUAAUCUGCUGCCCUUAUUCUAUGCAGGCGGUGCUCAUUUAAAGUCGAACGGCGCCGACGGAGAGCCUUGGAUGCAGCCGGUGGUGGCCUAUUUGGAGGUGUCGUCGCGACCCAUGAAAUCGCCAAAGUGUGAUCAGACCUUCGUGUCGCGGAUCGGUGGACCCCAGAAUGGCAGCUUCUCGGCCCCGCUGCUGCACAACCAUCGCAAUCACUCGCGCCAAUGCCUCUACACCUUCCUAGCAGGACCUGGCCAGCGCGUCGAAGUAGUUUUUAAAUCGUUUAAUUUAAGAGGAAGUCCGCCAGACGGUUCGGCCGUCGGUGAGUUACCAAGUUGUGUUCAUGAGUACAUGGAUAUCUACUCGGAGGUGCAGUCGUCGGAGCCAGCGGAACUGAUCAACUCACCAUUCGGGGGCCGCUACUGCGGCACCAUUCCGCCGCGUCGUCGCAUUUCCAUGUAUCGGGCAGUUGCGAUUUCUUUUUUUAGCAACAAGAACGUGACCACGGACCUGUUCGAGGGCACGUUUAGGUUUAUAAAUGCAUCGGAAUAUGAAAUUGGCAUACCCAUUGCGGGGUCGCCAUGUUCCUACACGAUAACGCCCAGCAUGAGCGUCAACAAAACUGGUGCGCUCAUAUCGCCAACCUAUCCAGGUGCCUAUCCGAAGGAUAUGUCAUGCACAUAUCAGUUUCUUGGUGAAUCGAAUCAGAGGGUUAGAUUAGAGUUUCGGGAUUUUGAUCUAUUUUUUGGUGGACCACACUGCCCAUUUGACUAUGUGAAAGUGUACGAUGGUCCAGAUAAUUCGUCAGCAUUAAUCGGUACAUAUUGCGGGCAGCAAAGAAACUUAGUUUUGUAUUCGAGCGAGUCGAGCCUUUUUGUUCAUUUUUAUACGUUAUCGCGCACCGCAAAUACCCAAAAUCGUGGCUUUAAAGGAAUUUAUGAAUUUAGCGAGAGUUUUGUUAAAUUAGAUUUUAUACGUGAAAAUGAUGGCAUUCACAUACGUGGCUCAGAAUGUGAUCAAAAGAUUUUAUCGAAGAAGGAAUCCACUGGCUUUGUGCUCUCACCCAACUAUCCCUAUCCCUAUAUACCAAAAACUGUGUGUAGAUAUUUUAUCUAUGGCAUGCAGGAUGCCCAGCAUCUGGAGCGUGUGCGUCUGGAGUUCAACGCUUUCAAUAUACCUAAGGUGGAGCACAAGGACAAGAGCGAGUCCAACUGCACGGACGGCUAUCUAAAGAUCUAUCUGAAGGGGCAGGAGACGGCCGAUGCCUACGACAAGUUCGACUACGAGUUGUGCGGCAAUGAGACGCAGCGAGUGAUCAGUGAGGGACCGCGGCUGGCCAUGGUCUUCAGUUCGGGUGAGCUGCAGGGUCGUGGCUUUAAGGGCAAGUACACCUUCGAGACGGAGUACAAGAUUCCGGGCACGGCGGCCCCGGAUGGCACCUGCAGCUUCACGUACGUGAGCAGUUCCAAGAAGCGCGGCGAACUGAACAGCCCGAGAUACCCCUCCAAUUAUCCCUCGGACACGAAUUGCUCAUAUCUGUUUCUGGCCGAGGCCGAUGAGCAGGUGACCAUCGUGUUUGACCAUUUCAAGAUCAAGGCGGACAACAAUGCAAACGCCACGGCGGGAGCUUAUGGUUCUGGCGCCUGCUUCGAGGACUGGCUGGAGAUGUAUGUCGUCUACCGGGACAACAACGACCGCCUGCUGGGCCGCUACUGCGGUCAGACAGCCCCCGGACCCGUCGAGAGCCCGCGGGGAGCGGUGGGGCUGCGUAUCACCCUGCACACGGACCAGGAGAGCGUGGCCAGCGGCUUCAAGGCCCGCUACUUCUUCGAGUCGGCCAAGUCGGAUGCCGGCGACUGCGGCGGCAACUUUAGCAACCAGGACUCGGGCCUCAUCACCUCGCCCAACUGGCCGGCCGGCUACAAGGCACCUGGUCGGGGCAUGGCCUCCAACGCCUGCAACUGGGUGAUGAAGGCACGCCCCGGCUACAAGCUGUCCAUUCACUUUGAGCAGUUCGGCCUGGAAGGAGACCCAGCAAAUCGCGGGUGUCCUGCCGCUGUGCUGCGGCUGUGGAUGAACGUGGACUCCGACCAGCCGCCGCUGGAGCUGUGUGGCGAGAAGCCGCCCGUGGAGCAGUGGCACUAUACCUCUACUGGCCAGACAGCGCGCAUCAGCUUCACCACCAGCGACAAGACAGUGGGUGCCCAGGGCUUCCGCAUUGUGUGGACCGAGAUACAGGACUCUGGCCCGGGUCCGCCGUCCGUGGGUCUGCACUGCGAGUCGACGUACCACUUCCAGUGCGGAGCCGGAUACUGCAUCUCGGAUAAGCUGCGAUGCGACGGGGUCAAGAACUGCGGACCCGGCGACGAUACUGACGAAUUGCACUGUGACGCAAACUCCACGCAUUUGCCCACAUUUCUACAAACUUUUGUUUUAGCAAUUACGGCAUUAGUGUUAAAUACGUACAACUAAAGUUAAACAAGAACGAAACUCGAAAAAUCAAAAUUUUUAAAUCGAAAUUGGAAUUGCCACGAGAAUCAAAUACGUGAAACAUAACUAAGAUAACAAAUUGAAAUGAAUGGAGCAUUCUGCUAGCAAGAAUUUGUACUCAUUUUUCUAACAACAAAACGAAGAAACUAAACCAAAAAUACUAACUCUAAUAUCUAAGUAAAUGAAACUCUUGGUCACAACUAACACGUACCACGGAAGCGGCAGAGGAGGACUACGACGUCCUAAUUAUAAUAACGCUUCUCGUCGUCUCGUCCCUAAUCUGUCUCCUAUGCA